GAUGAACGCUGGCGGCGUGCCUAAUACAUGCAAGUCGAGCGAACAGACGAGGAGCUUGCUCCUCUGACGUUAGCGGCGGACGGGUGAGUAACACGUGGAUAACCUACCUAUAAGACUGGGAUAACUUCGGGAAACCGGAGCUAAUACCGGAUAAUAUAUUUAACCGCAUGGUUCAAUAGUGAAAGACGGUUUUGCUGUCACUUAUAGAUGGAUCCGCGCCGCAUUAGCUAGUUGGUAAGGUAACGGCUUACCAAGGCAACGAUGCGUAGCCGACCUGAGAGGGUGAUCGGCCACACUGGAACUGAGACACGGUCCAGACUCCUACGGGAGGCAGCAGUAGGGAAUCUUCCGCAAUGGGCGAAAGCCUGACGGAGCAACGCCGCGUGAGUGAUGAAGGUCUUCGGAUCGUAAAACUCUGUUAUUAGGGAAGAACAAAUGUGUAAGUAACUAUGCACGUCUUGACGGUUCCUAACCAGAAAGCCACGGCUAACUACGUG
This 497-nucleotide ribosomal RNA is filed under the name uncultured bacterium. RNAcentral describes it as "partial 16S ribosomal RNA". It matches the Rfam family "Bacterial small subunit ribosomal RNA", at positions 28 to 507 of the family's 1533-position model. The record is from RNAcentral.